Long non-coding RNA from Hyla sarda, 461 nucleotides. RefSeq lists it as uncharacterized. Lineage: Eukaryota; Metazoa; Chordata; Amphibia; Anura; Hylidae. The transcript is spliced from 3 exons. The record is from RefSeq and is a predicted model, not a curated record.
ACAGGUUUUGAUAAAUCUCCCUCUUUUUCUUGUUCCUCAAGCCAUUCCUGAACAUUUUUUGCAGUGUGACAGGGUGCAUUAUCCUACUGAAAGAGGCCACUGUUAGUAGGGAAUGCUAUUAGCAUGAAAGGGUGUACUUCCUCUGGGACAAUGUUUUGCUAGAGAUUUUCGUUCAAUUGAUACCUCAGUAAAGAAUCGCAGCGCUACCAUGAUUGUCAUUACCACCAUCCUGCCCAUUCUCUUUGCUUUGCUGUUGGCCCUCUUUACUAGUAUGCUAUUCAUGAGCUGUUGCUGUUGCCGGGUUUUCACACCCAAGAAAUGUCAGGAGUCCUGAAUAAGAAUAAAAGUUCUGGAGCAUGCAGCAUCGGAGAUCUACGUAUUUCAUCUAUUAUUUAUAUAUAUGUGAUAUCUUUGCUAAAUCCACUCUUGCUUUAAAAUUAUAUAGACAUACAUAUAUAUAU